AAGCUGAGAUAUCUGAACACCAUCAAACAUUGAAGAUCUCUGAAAAACUAAAGGAAAUGUCGGAUAUCUCUGAACGACUAAAGCCACAGUGUGUAAGUACUUGCAGCUGAAGCAACAGGAG
Long non-coding RNA from Cyprinus carpio (common carp), 121 nucleotides. RefSeq lists it as uncharacterized. The record is from RefSeq and is a predicted model, not a curated record. NCBI's taxonomy places the organism in Eukaryota, Metazoa, Chordata, Actinopteri, Cypriniformes, Cyprinidae. The transcript is spliced from 3 exons.